RNAcentral lists this transfer RNA (74 nucleotides) under Candidatus Bathyarchaeota archaeon. RNAcentral's name for it is "tRNA-Asn". It matches the Rfam family "tRNA". From Rfam's summary of the family: Transfer RNA (tRNA) molecules are approximately 80 nucleotides in length. Their secondary structure includes four short double-helical elements and three loops (D, anti-codon, and T loops). RNAcentral also lists the same sequence under 1 other name. Lineage: Archaea; Thermoproteati; Candidatus Bathyarchaeota. The record is from RNAcentral.
GUUCUGGUAGCUCAGUUGGUUAGAGCGCGCGACUGUUAAUCGCGAGGUCACAGGUUCAACCCCUGUUCGGAGCG